UUGUCGGGUCUUCAUUGACUUGGUAACGUAGCUAACGCGUGAAGUUGACCGCCUGGGGAGUACGGUCGCAAGAUUAAAACUCAAAGGAGUUGACGGGGACCCGCACAAGCGGUGGAUGAUGUGGAUUAAUUCGAUGCAACGCGAAAAACCUUACCUACCCUUGACAUGUAUGGAAUCCUGCUGAGAGGUGGGAGUGCCCGAAAGGGAGCCAUAACACAGGUGCUGCAUGGCUGUCGUCAGCUCGUGUCGUGAGAUGUUGGGUUAAGUCCCGCGACGAGCGCAACCCUUGUCCCUAGUUGCUACGCAAGAGCACCCUAGGGAGACUGCCGGUGACAAACCGGAGGAAGGUGAGGAUGACGUCAAGUCCUCAUGGCCCUUAUGGGUAGGGCUUCACACGUCAUACAAUGGUCGGAACAGAGGGUCGCCAACCCGCGAGGGGGAGCCAAUCCCAGAAAACCGAUCGUAGUCCGGAUCGCACUCUGCAACUCGGGUGCGUGAAGCUGGAAUCGCUAGUAAUCGCGGAUCAGC
Molecule: ribosomal RNA, 528 nt
Filed under: uncultured bacterium
Lineage: Bacteria
Description: bacterial SSU rRNA
Rfam family: Bacterial small subunit ribosomal RNA
Source: RNAcentral